RNAcentral lists this ribosomal RNA (253 nucleotides) under uncultured bacterium. Its description in RNAcentral is "partial 16S ribosomal RNA". It matches the Rfam family "Bacterial small subunit ribosomal RNA", at positions 524 to 776 of the family's 1533-position model. The record is from RNAcentral.
UACGGAGGGUGCAAACGUUGCUCGGAAUUAUUGGGCGUAAAGCGCACGUAGGCGGACCAUCAAGUCGGUUGUGAAAUCCCUCGGCUUAACCGAGGACGUGCGGAAGAAACUGCAAGGCUCGAGUCCGGGAGAGGGGGGUGGAAUUCCCAGUGUAGCGGUGAAAUGCGUAGAUAUUGGGAGGAACACCGGUGGCGAAGGCGGCCCCCUGGACCGGUACUGACGCUGAGGCGCGAAAGCGUGGGUAGCAAACGGG